UCUAAGGAAAUCGAAAAAUAUAAAAACAAUUAUUUUCGAUUUUAAAAAAAUCGGUUAAUGUAACCGUCCUCAUUUCUCUUCUUUUAAUGUCUCUGAGUAUUUGUAAAUAAGGGGCCGGUAGCUCAGGUGGUUAGAGCGCACCCCUGAUAAGGGUGAGGUCGGAAGUUCGAGUCUUCCUCGGCCCACCAAUAUUACGGGGGAUUAGCUCAGCUGGGAGAGCGCCUGAUUUGCAUUCAGGAGGUCAGCGGUUCGAUCCCGCUAUCCUCCACCAAAAUUUGAGACAUUUAGCUUUUUUAAAUCGUGAAUAUUAUUAAUAUCAAUAUCUAUAUCCGAUUGUUUUCAUAUUUUUUUGAAAACAAUCAAAACAAAAAUUUGAAUUUUUCACAGAAAAGUUUUUUUCUGUGCAUAAAU
This 411-nucleotide transfer RNA is filed under the name uncultured marine alpha proteobacterium. RNAcentral describes it as "16S-23S intergenic spacer region". The stretch from base 112 to 185 matches the Rfam family "tRNA". Lineage: Bacteria; Pseudomonadati; Pseudomonadota; Alphaproteobacteria. The record is from RNAcentral.